Molecule: non-coding RNA, 31 nt
Filed under: Homo sapiens (human)
Lineage: Eukaryota; Metazoa; Chordata; Mammalia; Primates; Hominidae
Source: RNAcentral
GGAACUUGCCUGCUAAAUAAGGUCGUGGUGU